GCCGCCGCUCCCGCCUCGAGGACCCCGGGAGCCGGCCUCGGCGCGCCGGGGGCGCUUCUCCCUCCCUGGGAGGGUCUGGGCCGUGGGGCGAGGCCUCAUGGAGGCUCUGGACCCCGAGAGCUGCGGAGGCGUCUCGGCGCCUGGGGCUGAUGGCCGGCCGGCGCCGGUGGAGAGGGUGCAUUUCCGUGUAACGAGGUUCAUCAUGGAAGCAGGCGUCAAACUCGGGAUGCACUCCAUUCCCAUUGCCACUGCGUGUACCAUUUACCAUAAAUUCUUCUGCGAGAUCAACGUGGACGCCUAUGACCCAUACCUAGUCGCCAUGUCUUCCAUUUAUCUGGCUGGCAAAGUGGAGGAGCAGCACCUGCGGACCCGAGAUAUCAUCAACGUGUCCUACAGGUACUUUAACCCAGGUAGCGAGCCCCUGGAGCUGGACUCGCGCUUCUGGGAGCUUCGGGACAGCAUCGUGCAAUGUGAGCUCGUCGUGCUUCGAGUUCUGCGCUUCCAGGUGUCCUUCCAGCACCCCCACAAGUACCUGCUCCACUACCUGGUCUCCCUCAAGAACUGGCUGAACCGUUACAGCUGGCAGCGGACUCCCAUCUCUGUCACAGCCUGGGCCUUGCUGCGGGACAGCUACCAUGGUGGGCUGUGUCUCCGUUUCCGGGCACAACACCUGGCUGUGGCUGUGCUCUACAUGGCCCUGCAGGUCUAUGGAGUUGAAGUGCCUGCUGAGGCCGAGGCCGAGGCCGAGAAGCCGUGGUGGCAGCUGCUGCUUCUUGCCAUGACUGCCUCCUGUCACCUGUGGGCCACGGGCUUAGCAAGAGAGCCCAGCACUUCCCUGCCAGCAGCUGGCCCGCAUGUUGGCACGUGUGUGCCGAGGCAUGUUGCAGCCUUGGGGCCUGGGAGGCAAAGCUCUGACCACAAGAUGAAUCGGGGCAGCGAGGGGUCAGCGGUGCCAACAGUCUUCACAGUGUUCCAGAGAGCUCCACAUGCAGAGCCACACCAGGGCUCCCUGUACGCCUUCCUAAAAAUUGGGAGGAUGUGCUGACGGAUGUGGAAGAAAAAAUGUGCCUCUUCGGCACUUCAGGUCUGCAGUUAGUGAGAGUAAGCACAUUUGUGCAGCCUUCCACCGUCCGUCCCUGAAACUCUCCUGCACAGCCAGCCUGCCCCAGGAGACACCAGUUCCCUGUGCCCCUGUGUCUAGCCCCUGGCACCAGGCAGUCCCCCGCCAUGUAUCUGUGAUUGGCCAUUCUAGGAGCGUCCUGCAUGUGGGAGCACACAGUAUUGGUCCCUUAGUGGCUGGCUCAUUUCACUGAGUGCCAUGUCCCCAAGGGUCAUCCAUGCUGUCCUGCGUGUCAGCAUCUCCGUCCUUUUGUAUUUAUUGAUUGAUUGUUUUGGUCUUACUAUGCAGUUCAUGCUGGCCUUGAACUCACCGCAAUCCCCCUGCCUCAGCCUCCCUAGUUCUGGGAUGACAGGCGUGCGCCACUCAUCCACAGAUACUCACAUGAUUUAUUCCAUGGACACAGAGAUCCCCUAAGGCCCUGGCCCAGGCCUACCCAAAGAGAAACCCAGGAUGGCCAGCUGCCUGGGGAUGGUGCCACCAUAUCGCUGUGACGGCUGGUCCCCAGAGGACCAGCUGGGAGGACUGGUUGUGCUGCUGGAGGCGGGCUGGUGAAGGCAAUGACAUGCUGCCGCUCUGACUGUCCCCAGCAGCCACGGUCCCCAUGUGCUGCUGCCCAGGCGGCACUUCUGCUUUAGUCCUUUGAGAGGACUCUGCACUUGAGGCACUAUGUCACUGGCAGGGCAUUCAGAGGACAGACGGGACUGCACCCCUAGGGGUUUUUUAAAAGUCAGACUUGUAGAAAGUUUGACAUGUGAUAUAGAUGGAAUUUUAUUUUGUAUAAUAAAAGACAAUGCAAAUCAACAGA
Heterocephalus glaber (naked mole-rat) is the source of this 1925-nucleotide non-coding RNA. NCBI's taxonomy places the organism in Eukaryota, Metazoa, Chordata, Mammalia, Rodentia, Bathyergidae. The record is from RefSeq and is a predicted model, not a curated record.